This 394-nucleotide unclassified non-coding RNA is filed under the name soil metagenome. RNAcentral describes it as "partial contains 5.8S ribosomal RNA, internal transcribed spacer 2, and large subunit ribosomal RNA". The stretch from base 1 to 120 matches the Rfam family "5.8S ribosomal RNA", at positions 35 to 154 of the family's 154-position model. The record is from RNAcentral.
GAUGAAGAACGUAUCGAAUUGCGAUAAGUAAUGUGAAUUGCAGAUACUCGUGAAUCAUUGAAUUUUUGAACGCACAUUGCGCCCUUGAGCAUUCUCAGGGGCAUGCCUGUUUGAGCGUCAUUUCCUUCUCAAAAGAUAAUUUAUUAUUUUUUGGUUGUGGGCGAUACUCAGGGUUAGCUUGAAAUUGGAGACUGUUUCAGUCUUUUUUAAUUCAACACUUAGCUUCUUUGGAGACGCUGUUCUCGCUGUGAUGUAUUUAUGGAUUUAUUCGUUUUACUUUACAAGAGAAAUGGUAACGUACCUUAGGCAAAGGGUUGCUUUUAAUAUUCAUCAAGUUUGACCUCAAAUCAGGUAGGAUUACCCGCUGAACUUAAGCAUAUCAAUAAGCGGAGGA